GGGUCAGUAGGUUGGUCAUGCCACUGGUAUGUACUGGUCUCACUGAUUCCUCCUUCCUGAUGAACUGUAAUGCCAUUAAUUUGGUGUUGCAGGGAAUUUGGACUGUUACUUUGAAAAAAUUAGAGUGUUUAAAACAGGCUUAUGCUUGAAUACAUUAGCAUGGAAUAACGGAAUAGGACUUUGUUUCUAUUUUGUUGGUUUUGAGGAACGAAGUA
RNAcentral lists this ribosomal RNA (215 nucleotides) under Campeiostachys nutans. Its description in RNAcentral is "Elymus nutans partial small subunit ribosomal RNA". The stretch from base 38 to 215 matches the Rfam family "Eukaryotic small subunit ribosomal RNA", at positions 684 to 864 of the family's 1831-position model. The record is from RNAcentral. Lineage: Eukaryota; Viridiplantae; Streptophyta; Magnoliopsida; Poales; Poaceae.